UAGUCAGAGAGAAGUUUGGAGACCAGGAUGUUUGGAUACUGCCCCAGGCAGAGUGGCAGCCUGGGGAGACCCUUCGAGGAACAGCUGAACGAACCCUGGCCACACUCUCAGGUGACACCCAUUUUAAAGGUGGAUGAACUUUGUUUUACAGACCAAAUGUCCUCGUCCUUCACCAGCAGAUAGCGACUGGGCUGAUUCACCAACAGUUAGCGACUGGGCUGAUUCGCCAACAGAUAGCGACUGGGCUGAUUCGCCAGCAGAUAGCGACUGGGCUGAUUCGCCAGCAUAGCGACUGGGCUGAUUCGCCAGCAGAUAGCGACUGGGCUGAAUGUAGGAACUAGAAAACAACAUGGAAGCCAAGUUCCUAGGAAAUGCACCCUGUGGGCACUACACAUUCAAGUUCCCCCAGGCAAUGCGGACAGAGAGUAACCUCGGAGCCAAGGUGUUCUUCUUCAAAGCACUGCUAUUAACUGGAGACUUUUCCCAGGCUGGGAAUAAGGGCCAUCAUGUGUGGGUCACUAAGGAUGAGCUGGGUGACUAUUUGAAACCAAAAUACCUGGCCCAAGUUAGGAGGUUUGUUUCAGACCUCUGAUGGGCCGAGCUGCCUGUGGACGGUGCUCAGACAAGUCUGGGAUUAGAGCCUCAAGGACAUUGUGUGAUUGCCUCACAUUUGCAGGUAAUAUCAAGCAGCAAACUAAAUUCUGAGAAAUAAACGAGUCUAUUACUG
RNAcentral lists this long non-coding RNA (727 nucleotides) under Homo sapiens (human). RNAcentral describes it as "non-protein coding lnc-DET1-1:21". The record is from RNAcentral. Lineage: Eukaryota; Metazoa; Chordata; Mammalia; Primates; Hominidae.